UGGGGAAUAUUGGGCAAUGGGGGAAACCCUGACCCAGCAACGCCGCGUGAGGGAUGAAGGUCUUCGGAUUGUAAACCUCUGUUGAAUGGGAAAAAAAGGUAGCAAUACUUUGAUGGUACCAUUUGAGGAAGCACCGGCUAACUACGUGCCAGCAGCCGCGGUAAUACGUAGGGUGCAAGCGUUGUUCGGAAUCACUGGGCGUAAAGGGAGCGUAGGCGGGAUCGUAAGUUAGGAGUUUAAUACAUGGGCUUAACCCGUGGCUGGCUUUUAAUACUGCGGUUCUUGAGUAUGGGAGAGGGCGAUGGAAUUCCAGGUGUAGCGGUGGAAUGCGUAGAUAUCUGGAAGAACACCAGUAGCGAAGGCGGUCGCCUGGCCUAAUACUGACGCUGAUGCUCGAAAGCUAGGGGAGCAAACAGG
RNAcentral lists this ribosomal RNA (417 nucleotides) under uncultured prokaryote. RNAcentral's name for it is "bacterial SSU rRNA". It matches the Rfam family "Bacterial small subunit ribosomal RNA", at positions 355 to 776 of the family's 1533-position model. RNAcentral also lists the same sequence under 1 other name. The record is from RNAcentral.